AUUGAACGCUGGCGGCAUGCUUUACACAUGCAAGUCGAACGGCAGCGCGGGCUUCGGCCUGGCGGCGAGUGGCGAACGGGUGAGUAAUACAUCGGAACGUGCCCAGUAGUGGGGGAUAGCUCGGCGAAAGCCGGAUUAAUACCGCAUACGACCUGAGGGUGAAAGCGGGGGAUCUUCGGACCUCGCGCUAUUGGAGCGGCCGAUGGCAGAUUAGCUAGUUGGUGGGGUAAAGGCCUACCAAGGCGACGAUCUGUAGCUGGUCUGAGAGGACGACCAGCCACACUGGGACUGAGACACGGCCCAGACUCCUACGGGAGGCAGCAGUGGGGAAUUUUGGACAAUGGGCGAAAGCCUGAUCCAGCAAUGCCGCGUGUGUGAUGAAGGCCUUCGGGUUGUAAAGCACUUUUGGCGGGAACGAAAAGGACUGUGCCAAUACCACGGUUCGAUGACGGUGCCCGCAGAAUAAGCACCGGCUAACUACGUG
RNAcentral lists this ribosomal RNA (484 nucleotides) under uncultured bacterium. RNAcentral's name for it is "partial 16S ribosomal RNA". It matches the Rfam family "Bacterial small subunit ribosomal RNA", at positions 29 to 507 of the family's 1533-position model. The record is from RNAcentral.